Molecule: ribosomal RNA, 512 nt
Filed under: uncultured bacterium
Lineage: Bacteria
Description: partial 16S ribosomal RNA
Rfam family: Bacterial small subunit ribosomal RNA
Source: RNAcentral
GACGAACGCUGGCGGCGUGCCUAAUACAUGCAAGUCGAGCGAAUCAAUAGGAGCUUGCUCCUGUUGGUUAGCGGCGGACGGGUGAGUAACACGUGGGCAACCUGCCUGUAAGACUGGGAUAACACCGGGAAACCGGUGCUAAUACCGGAUAAUCCUUUUCCUCUCAUGAGGAAAAGCUGAAAGACGGUUUCGGCUGUCACUUACAGAUGGGCCCGCGGCGCAUUAGCUAGUUGGUGAGGUAACGGCUCACCAAGGCGACGAUGCGUAGCCGACCUGGGAGGGUGAUCGGCCACACUGGGACUGAGACACGGCCCAGACUCCUACGGGAGGCAGCAGUAGGGAAUCUUCCACAAUGGACGAAAGUCUGAUGGAGCAACGCCGCGUGAGUGAUGAAGGCCUUCGGGUCGUAAAGCUCUGUUGUUAGGGAAGAACAAGUACCGGAGUAACUGCCGGUACCUUGACGGUACCUAACCAGAAAGCCACGGCUAACUACGUGCCAGCCGCCGCCGUAA